CUGGCGGCAGGCCUAACACAUGCAAGUCGAACGGUAACAGAAAGCAGCUUGCUGCUUUGCUGACGAGUGGCGGACGGGUGAGUAAUGUCUGGGAAACUGCCUGAUGGAGGGGGAUAACUACUGGAAACGGUAGCUAAUACCGCAUAACGUCGCAAGACCAAAGAGGGGGACCUUCGGGCCUCUUGCCAUCGGAUGUGCCCAGAUGGGAUUAGCUAGUAGGUGGGGUAAAGGCUCACCUAGGCGACGAUCCCUAGCUGGUCUGAGAGGAUGACCAGCCACACUGGAACUGAGACACGGUCCAGACUCCUACGGGAGGCAGCAGUGGGGAAUAUUGCACAAUGGGCGCAAGCCUGAUGCAGCCAUGCCGCGUGUAUGAAGAAGGCCUUCGGGUUGUAAAGUACUUUCAGCGGGGAGGAAGGGAGUAAAGUUAAUACCUUUGCUCAUUGACGUUACCCGCAGAAGAAGCACCGGCUAACUCCGUGCCAGCAGCCGCGGUAAUACGGAGGGUGCAAGCGUUAAUCGGAAUUACUGGGCGUAAAGCGCACGCAGGCGGUUUGUUAAGUCAGAUGUGAAAUCCCCGGGCUCAACCUGGGAACUGCAUCUGAUACUGGCAAGCUUGAGUCUCGUAGAGGGGGGUAGAAUUCCAGGUGUAGCGGUGAAAUGCGUAGAGAUCUGGAGGAAUACCGGUGGCGAAGGCGGCCCCCUGGACGAAGACUGACGCUCAGGUGCGAAAGCGUGGGGAGCAAACAGGAUUAGAUACCCUGAUAGUCCACGCCGUAAACGAUGUCGACUUGGAGGUUGUGCCCUUGAGGCGUGGCUUCCGGAGCUAACGCGUUAAGUCGACCGCCUGGGGAGUACGGCCGCAAGGUUAAAACUCAAAUGAAUUGACGGGGGCCCGCACAAGCGGUGGAGCAUGUGGUUUAAUUCGAUGCAACGCGAAGAACCUUACCUGGUCUUGACAUCCACGGAAGUUUUCAGAGAUGAGAAUGUGCCUUCGGGAACCGUGAGACAGGUGCUGCAUGGCUGUCGUCAGCUCGUGUUGUGAAAUGUUGGGUUAAGUCCCGCAACGAGCGCAACCCUUAUCCUUUGUUGCCAGCGGUCCGGCCGGGAACUCAGAGGAGACUGCCAGUGAUAAACUGGAGGAAGGUGGGGAUGACGUCAAGUCAUCAUGGCCCUUACGACCAGGGCUACACACGUGCUACAAUGGCGCAUACAAAGAGAAGCGACCUCGCGAGAGCAAGCGGACCUCAUAAAGUGCGUCGUAGUCCGGAUUGGAGUCUGCAACUCGACUCCAUGAAGUCGGAAUCGCUAGUAAUCGUGGAUCAGAAUGCCACGGUGAAUACGUUCCCGGGCCUUGUACACACCGCCCGUCACACCAUGGGAGUGGGUUGCAAAAGAAGUAGGUAGCUUAACCUUCGGGAGGGCGCUUACCACUUUGUGAUUCAUGACUGGGGUGAAG
This 1459-nucleotide ribosomal RNA is filed under the name uncultured organism. RNAcentral describes it as "16S ribosomal RNA". It matches the Rfam family "Bacterial small subunit ribosomal RNA". The record is from RNAcentral.